GGUUGGAGGCUGGCGGCGGCGCAAUGACCACGCUCCGGGCCUUCACCUGCGACGACCUGUUCCGCUUCAACAACAUUAACUUGGAUCCACUUACAGAAACUUAUGGGAUUCCUUUUUACUUACAGUACCUUGCGCACUGGCCAGAGUAUUUCAUCGUUGCCGAGGCACCUGGCGGAGAGCUAAUGGGUUAUAUUAUGGGCAAAGCAGAAGGCUCAGUAGCUAGGGAAGAGUGGCAUGGACAUGUCACAGCUCUGUCUGUCGCCCCUGAAUUCCGCCGUCUUGGCUUGGCUGCUAAACUUAUGGAGUUACUAGAGGAAAUUUCAGAAAGGUGGAUUUUUUGUUGAUCUCUUCGUUAGAGUAUCCAAUCAAGUUGCUGUCAACAUGUACAAGCAGUUGGGUUAUAGUGUCUACAGGACAGUCAUAGAGUACUACUCAGCCAGCAAUGGGGAGCCUGAUGAGGAUGCCUACGAUAUGAGGAAAGCACUUUCCAGGGACACUGAGAAGAAAUCCAUCAUCCCAUUACCUCAUCCUGUGAGGCCUGAGGACAUUGAAUAACCAUAGGCAGUGGUUCUUAGGCAGGUGUUC
This 585-nucleotide long non-coding RNA is filed under the name Rattus norvegicus (Norway rat). RNAcentral's name for it is "long non-coding RNA NONRATT018678". The record is from RNAcentral. Lineage: Eukaryota; Metazoa; Chordata; Mammalia; Rodentia; Muridae.